Molecule: ribosomal RNA, 497 nt
Filed under: uncultured bacterium
Lineage: Bacteria
Description: partial 16S ribosomal RNA
Rfam family: Bacterial small subunit ribosomal RNA
Source: RNAcentral
GAUGAACGCUGGCGGCGUGCCUAAUACAUGCAAGUCGAGCGAACAGACGAGGAGCUUGCUCCUCUGACGUUAGCGGCGGACGGGUGAGUAACACGUGGAUAACCUACCUAUAAGACUGGGAUAACUUCGGGAAACCGGAGCUAAUACCGGAUAAUAUAUUGAACCGCAUGGUUCAAUAGUGAAAGACGGUUUUGCUGUCACUUAUAGAUGGAUCCGCGCCGCAUUAGCUAGUUGGUAAGGUAACGGCUUACCAAGGCAACGAUGCGUAGCCGACCUGAGAGGGUGAUCGCCCACACUGGAACUGAGCCACGGUCCCGACUCCUACGGGAGGCAGCAGUAGGGAAUCUUCCGCAAUGGGCGAAAGCCUGACGGAGCAACGCCGCGUGAGUGAUGAAGGUCUUCGGAUCGUAAAACUCUGUUAUUAGGGAAGAACAAAUGUGUAAGUAACUAUGCACGUCUUGACGGUACCUAAUCAGAAAGCCACGGCUAACUACGUG